AGCCUGUUAGUUUAUAUAAAAUGUUUAUUUGUGGGAUAAAAGAUUAAAAGGCUA
Molecule: transfer RNA, 54 nt
Filed under: Teladorsagia circumcincta
Lineage: Eukaryota; Metazoa; Nematoda; Chromadorea; Rhabditida; Trichostrongylidae
Description: tRNA-His
Source: RNAcentral